RNAcentral lists this ribosomal RNA (874 nucleotides) under Plagioporus sp. 1 SB-2020. Its description in RNAcentral is "partial large subunit ribosomal RNA". It matches the Rfam family "Eukaryotic large subunit ribosomal RNA", at positions 131 to 685 of the family's 3401-position model. The record is from RNAcentral. Lineage: Eukaryota; Metazoa; Platyhelminthes; Trematoda; Plagiorchiida; Opecoelidae.
GAUCACCAGGCAAUGUGGUGUUCAGGUCGUUCCGCGGAGGCACUGCUCCACCCUAAGUCCAAUAAUGAGAACGGUUUCUCGGACAUGGCCCAUGGAGGGUGAAAGGCCCGUGGGGGUGGAGAUCAGGUUGGCCAGUGCUGCUCUGGGGAGACCUUGGAGUCGGGUUGUUUGUGAAUGCAGCCCAAAGCGGGUGGUAGACUCCAUCCAAGGCUAAAUACAACACGAGUCCGAUAGCGAACAAGUACCGUGAGGGAAAGUUGAAAAGUACUCUGAAGAGAGAGUAAACAGUGCGUGAAGCCGUUCAGAGGUAAACAGAUAGAGUUGAACUGUGAGUUCCGAUGGUUCAGCUGGUGACUUUGGUUGAGCUUGGUCAAAAUGGUUGGGCUUUGAGGUCUGUGUAGCAACAGGUUCUUGCCUUCGGGUGAGAAUGCGCGAUGCACUCGUCGAGUGUUGUGCGCCUCAGAUGUCCCGAGCCGAGUCGCCAGUGCAUUCCGUCGGGACGGUCACCACGACCGGCACUAUCGUCUGUCUUUUGUGGUUAAACCGUGCGUGCUUCGUCCUUGUGGCUUUGUGCGUGCGGGAUGGCAGGUAGCUCAUUGGUUUGUUUACAAGCCUUUGGGUGAAAUAGCUGACUGCAAUUUGACUGUGCGUUGUGCCGGGGACGGCGGCUUGAGGUGUGUGCGUGUGUGCUAGUUUGCUGGCGUAUCCGUGUCAGGUUGCUCAGUUGCUCACCUAGUGGGCCAAGCGGCGACUGGGAUGCGUUCGGCGAGCGGUCGCGCUCGAGACACCGUUGAAGGGCCAACAGUCUGUGGUGUUGCGGUAGACGAUCUAUCUGACCCGUCUUGAAACACGGACCAAGGAGAAUAACAUGUGC